CACGCAGGCGGUUAGAUAAGUCAGAUGUGAAAUCCCCGGGCUCAACCUGGGAACUGCAUUUGAAACUGUCUGACUAGAGUCUUGUAGAGGGGGUAGAAUUCCAGGUGUAGCGGUGAAAUGCGUAGAGAUCUGGAGGAAUACCGGUGGCGAAGGCGGCCCCCUGGACAAAGACUGACGCUCAGGUGCGAAAGCGUGGGGAGCAAACA
RNAcentral lists this ribosomal RNA (206 nucleotides) under uncultured bacterium. RNAcentral describes it as "partial 16S ribosomal RNA". It matches the Rfam family "Bacterial small subunit ribosomal RNA", at positions 568 to 774 of the family's 1533-position model. The record is from RNAcentral.